UUAGAAGGACAGGGCUCGAACCCGCACCUAGAGGCUCAAAACCUCCAGCACUCCAUUGUGCUACCAUCUA
Molecule: transfer RNA, 70 nt
Filed under: Liolaemus austromendocinus
Lineage: Eukaryota; Metazoa; Chordata; Lepidosauria; Squamata
Description: tRNA-Gln
Source: RNAcentral